UUCACUGGAAACUGAAUCCAGUAAACAAAAGUGAGGUUACCCUUUUGUUUCUUUCUUUUCAUUACAGAAGUCAAACCAAAUCUUUAAAAGAAAACAUUAGGCGGCAGCUCGAGUAUUAGUACUCGAUUUAUUCUUCUUCUUCCCUUGGUAUUCAAGAAUUCACUAGAAGAGGAAAGGAGGAAAGGAUUCUUAUGAUACUUUUGAAAUAAUCUCUAAGAGGUGACUUCAAUAAUCUAAGGUUGGGAUUGAAUUUUAAUAGCUAGUGGAUUGCCUAUUGGAUAACGGAAGUUGGUGGUUGGAAAGAUAAAAGCUAUACUCCCGCAAGUAAUGUUAUUUGGGAACCUGAAAUACCAUCGUAGCUAGUAAGCACUAAGGCUCCAAUCCUCCUGAUAGCAGACGUCCACGUUAGGCUCUUUUGCCAUUUCCAGCUGGUAUUUUGGUGAGCUCUAACUCUCUCUGGAGCCAGUUCAUGACUAGUAUUUUGAUUGUGUAUAGAUCUCUGGUUAGGCAUGAUGGGCCUAUUGCCAACUAGUCAUUUGUAGUGUAGUGUGUUAAACUGACUAGAGGCUUCAUGGACAUCGUGUAGUAUUGUAUAGUUUCAUUAAUGUAACUCUCUCAUGUAUAUAUGCAACGCUUGUCAACUGUCUUACCCGUUAUUAUCUUAUGACCUUGCAUACAUCGUAAAGUGCUUGUAGAUUAAGUAUAUACGAUUUUUGUCCGUUAUUAUUAUUUUGGGGCGUGACAAUAGGAAAAGUCCAAUUACCUACAAGUGACUUGGCAUCAGUUUCCCUUAUAGGUGACUUUCAAUUAAAUACAGAAGACAAGAUUAGUGAUGUGUUGUGUGUUCCAACAUUCAAAUUUAACCUUUUGUCUGUUAACAAACUGACAAAGGAAUUGAAUUAUUGUAUUUCCUUCUUCCCCACAUAUUGCAUAUUUCAGGACCUUUUAUCUGGGAAGGUCAAGGGUAUUGGUGAUGUAGAAGACGGCUUGUAUGUCCUAAACUGGAAGAAACAAAAGAAAAGAUGUAAAAUCAUAUCUGCUGUUACUAAGUUUGAAGAUCCAGCUAUUUGGCACAAAAGAUUAGGUCAUAUUCCCAUGAGUGUUCUUAGAAGAAUAAAAGAAUUCAAUAAUAAUGGUAGUUUUGCUAUAGAUCAUUGUGAUAUUUGUCCUCAAGCUAGACAAACCAGAAUUCCAUUCCCUUCUAGUAGCACAAGUUCAGAUGUUUUUUAUUUAGUUCAGAUGGAUCUUUGGGGACCUUACAAGGUCCCUACUCACUCUGGAAGGAGAUAUUUCCUUACUUUAGUAGAUGACAAGUCUCGAUGGACAUGAACUUUUUUGCUCACUCAAAAAUCUGAUGUAAUUUUUGUUCUGAGACAAUUUCUACUAAUGAUAAAGAACCAGUUUAACAGGUGUGUUGGAGUGUUCAGAACAGAUAAUGGAGUAGAAUUCUUUAAUGCUAAUUGUCAUGAACUAUUUACUAUGCAUGGUAUUAUCCAUCAAAGAUCUUGUCCUUACACUCCACAACAAAAUGGUGUUGUAGAGAGAAAGCACAGACACCUACUGGAAACUACAAGAGCUAUCAAAUUUCAAGGCUGCUUACCUAGCAAAUACUGGGGAAAAUGUGUUGAAGCUACUACAUACAUCAUAAAUAGGAUACCUCUGUCCAUUUUGGGGAAUAAGUCACCAUAUGAGCUAUUCUAUGGGAAUGGGCCAUCUUUAUCUCACAUUAAGGUGAUAGGAUAUCUUGCUUUUGCUAUAAACCUAUUGAAAGGUG
Capsicum annuum is the source of this 1774-nucleotide long non-coding RNA. RefSeq lists it as uncharacterized. NCBI's taxonomy places the organism in Eukaryota, Viridiplantae, Streptophyta, Magnoliopsida, Solanales, Solanaceae. The record is from RefSeq and is a predicted model, not a curated record. The transcript has 3 exons.